GGGUUGUGAGGUUAAGCGACUAAGCGUACACGGUGGAUGCCCUGGCAGUCAGAGGCGAUGAAGGACGUGCUAAUCUGCGAUAAGCGUCGGUAAGGUGAUAUGAACCGUUAUAACCGGCGAUUUCCGAAUGGGGAAACCCAGUGUGAUUCGUCACACUAUCAUUAACUGAAUCCAUAGGUUAAUGAGGCGAACCGGGGGAACUGAAACAUCUAAGUACCCCGAGGAAAAGAAAUCAACCGAGAUUCCCCCAGUAGCGGCGAGCGAACGGGGAGCAGCCCAGAGCCUGAAUCAGUGUGUGUGUUAGUGGAAGCGUCUGGAAAGGCGCGCGAUACAGGGUGACAGCCCCGUACACAAAAAUGCACAUACUGUGAGCUCGAUGAGUAGGGCGGGACACGUGGUAUCCUGUCUGAAUAUGGGGGGACCAUCCUCCAAGGCUAAAUACUCCUGACUGACCGAUAGUGAACCAGUACCGUGAGGGAAAGGCGAAAAGAACCCCGGCGAGGGGAGUGAAAAAGAACCUGAAACCGUGUACGUACAAGCAGUGGGAGCCUCUUAAUGGGGUGACUGCGUACCUUUUGUAUAAUGGGUCAGCGACUUAUAUUCUGUAGCAAGGUUAACCGAAUAGGGGAGCCGAAGGGAAACCGAGUCUUAACUGGGCGUUAAGUUGCAGGGUAUAGACCCGAAACCCGGUGAUCUAGCCAUGGGCAGGUUGAAGGUUGGGUAACACUAACUGGAGGACCGAACCGACUAAUGUUGAAAAAUUAGCGGAUGACUUGUGGCUGGGGGUGAAAGGCCAAUCAAACCGGGAGAUAGCUGGUUCUCCCCGAAAGCUAUUUAGGUAGCGCCUCGUGAAUUCAUCUCCGGGGGUAGAGCACUGUUUCGGCAAGGGGGUCAUCCCGACUUACCAACCCGAUGCAAACUGCGAAUACCGGAGAAUGUUAUCACGGGAGACACACGGCGGGUGCUAACGUCCGUCGUGAAGAGGGAAACAACCCAGACCGCCAGCUAAGGUCCCAAAGUCAUGGUUAAGUGGGAAACGAUGUGGGAAGGCCCAGACAGCCAGGAUGUUGGCUUAGAAGCAGCCAUCAUUUAAAGAAAGCGUAAUAGCUCACUGGUCGAGUCGGCCUGCGCGGAAGAUGUAACGGGGCUAAACCAUGCACCGAAGCUGCGGCAGCGACGCUUAUGCGUUGUUGGGUAGGGGAGCGUUCUGUAAGCCUGCGAAGGUGUGCUGUGAGGCAUGCUGGAGGUAUCAGAAGUUCGAAUGCUGACAUAAGUAACGAUAAAGCGGGUGAAAAGCCCGCUCGCCGGAAGACCAAGGGUUCCUGUCCAACGUUAAUCGGGGCAGGGUGAGUCGACCCCUAAGGCGAGGCCGAAAGGCGUAGUCGAUGGGAAACAGGUUAAUAUUCCUGUACUUGGUGUUACUGCGAAGGGGGGACGGAGAAGGCUAUGUUGGCCGGGCGACGGUUGUCCCGGUUUAAGCGUGUAGGCUGGUUUUCCAGGCAAAUCCGGAAAAUCAAGGCUGAGGCGUGAUGACGAGGCACUACGGUGCUGAAGCAACAAAUGCCCUGCUUCCAGGAAAAGCCUCUAAGCAUCAGGUAACAUCAAAUCGUACCCCAAACCGACACAGGUGGUCAGGUAGAGAAUACCAAGGCGCUUGAGAGAACUCGGGUGAAGGAACUAGGCAAAAUGGUGCCGUAACUUCGGGAGAAGGCACGCUGAUAUGUAGGUGAAGUCCCUUGCGGAUGGAGCUGAAAUCAGUCGAAGAUACCAGCUGGCUGCAACUGUUUAUUAAAAACACAGCACUGUGCAAACACGAAAGUGGACGUAUACGGUGUGACGCCUGCCCGGUGCCGGAAGGUUAAUUGAUGGGGUUAGCGGUAACGCGAAGCUCUUGAUCGAAGCCCCGGUAAACGGCGGCCGUAACUAUAACGGUCCUAAGGUAGCGAAAUUCCUUGUCGGGUAAGUUCCGACCUGCACGAAUGGCGUAAUGAUGGCCAGGCUGUCUCCACCCGAGACUCAGUGAAAUUGAACUCGCUGUGAAGAUGCAGUGUACCCGCGGCAAGACGGAAAGACCCCGUGAACCUUUACUAUAGCUUGACACUGAACAUUGAGCCUUGAUGUGUAGGAUAGGUGGGAGGCUUUGAAGUGUGGACGCCAGUCUGCAUGGAGCCGACCUUGAAAUACCACCCUUUAAUGUUUGAUGUUCUAACGUUGGCCCCUAAUCGGGGUUGCGGACAGUGUCUGGUGGGUAGUUUGACUGGGGCGGUCUCCUCCUAAAGAGUAACGGAGGAGCACGAAGGUUGGCUAAUCCUGGUCGGACAUCAGGAGGUUAGUGCAAUGGCAUAAGCCAGCUUGACUGCGAGCGUGACGGCGCGAGCAGGUGCGAAAGCAGGUCAUAGUGAUCCGGUGGUUCUGAAUGGAAGGGCCAUCGCUCAACGGAUAAAAGGUACUCCGGGGAUAACAGGCUGAUACCGCCCAAGAGUUCAUAUCGACGGCGGUGUUUGGCACCUCGAUGUCGGCUCAUCACAUCCUGGGGCUGAAGUAGGUCCCAAGGGUAUGGCUGUUCGCCAUUUAAAGUGGUACGCGAGCUGGGUUUAGAACGUCGUGAGACAGUUCGGUCCCUAUCUGCCGUGGGCGCUGGAGAACUGAGGGGGGCUGCUCCUAGUACGAGAGGACCGGAGUGGACGCAUCACUGGUGUUCGGGUUGUCAUGCCAAUGGCACUGCCCGGUAGCUAAAUGCGGAAGAGAUAAGUGCUGAAAGCAUCUAAGCACGAAACUUGCCCCGAGAUGAGUUCUCCCUGACUCCCUGAGAGUCCUGAAGGAACGUUGAAGACGACGACGUUGAUAGGCCGGGUGUGUAAGCGCAGCGAUGCGUUGAGCUAACCGGUACUAAUGAACCGUGAGGCUUAACCUUACAACGCCGAAGCUGUU
Molecule: ribosomal RNA, 2931 nt
Filed under: Escherichia coli
Lineage: Bacteria; Pseudomonadati; Pseudomonadota; Gammaproteobacteria; Enterobacterales; Enterobacteriaceae
Description: bacterial LSU rRNA
Rfam family: Bacterial large subunit ribosomal RNA
Source: RNAcentral